Molecule: ribosomal RNA, 365 nt
Filed under: uncultured Bacteroidota bacterium
Lineage: Bacteria; Pseudomonadati; Bacteroidota
Description: bacterial SSU rRNA
Rfam family: Bacterial small subunit ribosomal RNA
Source: RNAcentral
GGAGGAUCCAAGCGUUAUCCGGAAUCAUUGGGUUUAAAGGGUCCGUAGGCGGUUUAAUAAGUCAGUGGUGAAAGCCCAUCGCUCAACGGUGGAACGAUCAUUGAUACUGUUAGACUUGAAUUAUUAGGAAGUAACUAGAAUAUGUAGUGUAGCGGUGAAAUGCUUAGAGAUUACAUGGAAUACCAAUUGCGAAGGCAGGUUACUACUAAUGGAUUGACGCUGAUGGACGAAAGCGUGGGUAGCGAACAGGAUUAGAUACCCUGGUAGUCCACGCCGUAAACGAUGGAUACUAGCUGUUGGGAGCAAUCUCAGUGGCUAAGCGAAAGUGAUAAGUAUCCCACCUGGGGAGUACGUUCGCAAGAAUG